Long non-coding RNA from Prinia subflava (tawny-flanked prinia), 8163 nucleotides. RefSeq lists it as uncharacterized. The transcript is spliced from 2 exons. Lineage: Eukaryota; Metazoa; Chordata; Aves; Passeriformes; Cisticolidae. The record is from RefSeq and is a predicted model, not a curated record.
AGGGAAAACUCGUAGUUAUUCGCAUGGACUAGCAGAGCCGCAGUCAGCUGAGCAGCUUUGAAGUGUUAUUUUCCCUGUGUAUUUCUGUCAGUGCUGCUGCUGUUGGCAUAGCUUCAGCAUCCUGUUUUUUUUUAUUUUUCAUUGGGCCAAAUGAUUUUUCUUGUUCAGCACAGAAUAAAUCUGAAGUAAUAGUGUUUAUUUCUAUGUGUGUGAAGGCGCUUUUCUGGAGCACUGGGUGGAUUUGCACCUCUCGAAGUCAGUAAUUUGCUCUGGAUUGUAAACAGCUCUGACAACAUAAUUCUGAAAAUAGAGUGAUGUUGCCAAGCAAGCAGAGCUCUUGAGCUUUCAGCAGUGACAGUUCUCAUUUGAAACCCAAAGCAGUGCUCAGACAGCCUGAAGUAACUCAGCAUUUAUAAUCUUGGAGUUGAAAGAAUAAAGUCUGAUGAUGAUAGAUAGAAAAGGGCCAAGAAUUAAUUGUUCUGUGAUUUCUGGAAGUGUCUGGUUCCAGUUUUCCAGCGUGGCAGCUGUUUUAGAGAAUAAUAGGGCAGAUAACUUCCAUAGAUUUAUCUCCAUAAUGUUUCCUAACUCUAGUAAAUAAUAAAAAACCGGCAUUUUUCCCACUCAAUUGAAAUAUCUUGAGAAUAUGGCUCAAAAUACAAAAUUUCACUAUGGGAAAACAACAGAAGAAAAUGCAUUUUCACCUAAACCAGGCAGUACCAGAGUGCUGUCCUACACUCCUGGACUGUGUUUGUAGAAGUGCAAGGUGAUGGAAUCACGGAUAAGCUCAACACCAUUUUCAGUUGCUGUACUAGGGGUUGGUCACCUCCAAAAAGAGGUUCCAGUCCUCCUGUUCUACUGCCUUGCAUGGGAAUUGGUUGCUGUUUCAAUCAAUUUAGCCUGAAGUAACAAAAGUAGCCAGGAUGCUGAAUUACACAUUAUUGUGUGCCAGUUUACACCUGGGCUGCUCUGUCCAGCCUUUUCUCCUGCAGACAAUCUCUGCCUUCCCAAAGCUCAGGGAUGCUUUUGGUCAGCACAGACUGAGCAUUAGAUUACAAAGAUUUUUUUAAACUUAUAAUUCCAAAUUGGGACACUGACAUUCCUUUUCACACAGCACUGAAAAUAAAUGGAUUCUUUUCCCACAGAUGGCACUUCUGAAGGCAGAUGUAUCUUCCUGCAAAGGUGACCAAUGGAUUUGCCUUGUUAAAUUUUAACUCUGUGGAUUUGUUUGCUGCUAUUAUGGUCUCCUGGGGACCACCUGUACCUCAGAAAAAAUCAUCAUUACACUUCAGUGAUGAGGCUCCUGUAAUUAAUUACUCCUAUGAGAGGUUAGUCAACUCUCAAAUAUAUGUAUCAAAAAAACCUUUUAUGUUUAGGGGGCAACAAAGCAGUUCAAUCCCACUGAAAUAAUUUCUUGGUGUAAUAGUUACCAAGCCUUUAUUCUCAGCCUGUGUUUUGUGGAAAGCAGUCAGUGCCUGAGCAGGAUACUAACAGCUGGAAUAAACUGUUUUCAUCCCUUAGGACUGGCUGGUGAGGUUAGAGAGGAUGUGACAUUUUUAGUAAGAGACUAUAUUUAUCUUAAAUGUCUAUGCAUUGUUCUUGUUUCACUGGGUUCUAAGAAACUGAGCAGGGAUAGUUUAUAGAGCUCACUUCUGCCUGGGCCUGCUAGCUCAUAACAUCUGCCUCAUUUGUUGGUGUUUACCCCAUUCUGAUUUGUUUAUUGCUCACAGAGCCUCUCUGCAGGUUUUUCUCAUUUUCAUAAAGUGGAGGGAGUUCACUCCCUGUAUCUCAUCCUUAGCGGGGUAUUUUAUGAGCUAAAAGUGAUAAGAAUUUUCUGAAGGGAAGUGGAUUUAUCAGAGCUUGACAACUCCUAACUCCUAAGAGGAGAGAGGGCUUCCUUCUCCCUGUCAUAGCACCUAUUCCCUUCCCACCUCAAAGAACAAAGCCUGCACUUGCUUUCUGAAUCCGCUUCACUUGCAUUUCUGGAACAUAAUUUAGAGACAGUUCUAUGUUUUCUUGGAUUAAAAAGAAAUCACCAUCUAUACAGGACAUUUUCUUUUUGUUAUGGUGUUGAAAAAAUGUCCUUUUUGUGGCUAAAUGUAGGUGUGUGAUGGCUGAGCUGCAGGGGUGACCAGCAGCAGAGAGCUGGGUUGGGGUAGGUCCCACUGACCACAACCUUCCCAUGGCAGAUCCUUAGACUUGAACUAAACCUGGUGAUCUCUUAGGAAAGGCUUAAAUGCAGUAUUAAUACAUCCUACUGGAGCAGCAAGGGGAGGUAGGCAAAUUUCAGAUAUGUAAGGUGAUGCUGCACAGCAGAGAUCCCUUUGAUCUCAAUUCUGUUUGAGUCAGUAACUCCCAUGCUCCGACUGCCUUUGCACUGAGAAAAAAGCUUUCCUGUUGAAGUGUAAAAUGAAAGGAAGAGCCUUUGUGGUCUGUUCUUAUCAGCUUUAUGGCAAUUAGUGCCAGGGAAGGCUCCUGCUGUCUCCUCUCAGCCCUGGGCAGGUGUGAGGCUCAGACACAAGCUGGACUCAGGGUGAAACAGGAGCUGUUCUGGGGAGGAACACACCAAGAAGCCCCCGAUCCCAGGUGCUGGGGUGCCAGGGGAUUCCUGCUUCUGUGCCAGGGAAGCUGCUGCAGAGACACAUCAGUCUCAGCAUUUCAAUUUUCUAACUGGGUCUGACCCAGAGAAGCUGGAGAAAUACUAGUUGUUUAUUUUAAAAUCUGGUUACCAGGCCAGUUACUUGUUCAAACCAAGCCCUGCAUGACUGGUAGAUGACAGCAGUGUGCUGCUGCCUGCUCCUCAGCCCUGAAGGUCAGUACCUGUAUUCCCACCUUCCCGCCCUCAGUGGUGGGAUUGGUCGAGCCUGCCCUGCUCUCCACUUGUGGGCAUCCCCUCGUGAGGAGAGCUGCACCUCUAGGCACACUGAAAAGCUUUUGAUUCACAAGAAGCCACUCAGCUGCAGUAGAUUAUUGAUGGUAUGAGUAAAGGGAAAGACUGAAGUGUGGUAACGGUCUGCAGUUAAACAGCAUUCGUCAUUCUGGAGGCACUCUGAGACUGAAAGGGCCCAAGGAACAUUUUAUGUGAAAUAAACAUCUGUAAAAUAAUGGACCAGUUUUUGAGAAUGAAGAUGUGAAAGACAAUAUUUUUGGAUACCUUAAUCGAGAGAAGGCUGGAAGGCACAGGAAGGGGAGGGAAGCAGACCUUGGAAAGAGCCAGAGGAACAAGAGGAAGGAGGUUCCCGAGGGCUCUGUCAGGUGAUGACCAUGGCACUGCACCUCGGUACUGCACCUCAGUACUGCACCUCAUUCUUUGGUUUUCUUCUUUUCUGUCUCCCAUGACAGCCCUCACAUGGAUUUUAAUGCCAAACUUCCUUCGCAGCUUGGGAACAGCCCCGUGUAAUACAAGAGCCCACAAAUUGUAGGGUUUUGAUGAUAUUUCUCAUUUCUCCUUGUGUAGAAUUCAUUUCGUCUUCUGACAGGUGGAAUGCACAGACUCCUUCAGCAAUAUUGGAUAUUUCCUAUAUCUGUCUUUUCUGAAUUACAGAAGCCAGAAGAUGCCUUUCCUGAUCAUUCAAGUGCAGUGCCACUAACACAAGCAUUUGAUGUUAUCUUAAAAUUUUAAAAAUACACCUCUCCUCCCACAACACAAACACUGCAGUACCAGUCUGUACCCAGAAAUAAUGACACCUACAUACGUGCUUUUCCAGACUUCAAGUCUUUGUGACAAACAUCUUGCAAACUGAAAGGUGCUCUAAAAACUCAAAAGCACCUUUCAGAAUAUACCUUGACCCCUCCAAGGACUCCAAAUGUUCCAUUGCACAUCACACUUGUCCUGCACCUCUUUUCCUGGAGCUGUGUGUUUCAGGGUCACUUCACAGAAAGGUCAAGCAAUGGGACCUUGUUGUUUUUCUAACAGCUCUGCAUCUAUGCUUAAAAAAGAAAAAAAAAAAAAAAGGCAGCUAGAGUGGAAGUUUGUGAGGUUCCAUGGAGUUGCAAGUUCAUUUCCAGCAGUUUCAGAAAGCACUGCAGCUUCUGGGAGAAAAAAAGAAGUAACAGUGUUUUAUCAGUUUUGUCAAUUUGUAUUUACACAAGGUUUUUCUCUUCCCUUCACUUGGGAUUGCACCCUCAGUAUCGAGAGCAGCCAAGUCUGAGCUCUUCCUGAGCUGCUGAUGACAGGUUGGUGUCACUGCUGCCCGCUUCACUGUGAAGGAAUAUCUGCAUGCAGGAAGCUCUAAUACAGCAAAGAGCAGGACAGAGACCUUUCACAGCUUGGCAGUCAUAAAGUUAUAAAAAAAUCCUGGCAAAAAAGCAGCCUGACUAUUCACUGAGCACCUUUUAUGCACACUCCCAUUCACACAAAACCCUUCUUGGGUAUUGUGUUUCAGAAAGCAACUUUCCCAUUUAAACCCAUGCAAUUAUUACUUAAUAUUGUGUUGCUGGGCUUCUUAAAAUGGCCAGGCAUUAGAAAGUUAUACUUUAUUGUACAACUGGCUUGCAGUUCAAGGUCUAAAAAAUAAUCCUGAUAGUGGUUAGAGAGCACAGUGUCCCUGAAGGGAGGGAGGCCUGAGCAGUGCUGAGGUCAUGGCAGCUGCAGAGGUCUUUGUCUCUCCUGAGCAGGGAGAACAGCCCCACUGGAACCCACUGGGAAUUAGGGACAUGCUGGGAAGCCUCUGCCAUCACUGCACCAGCUCCUGCCUCCCUCUCCAGGAAAGAACAGCUCUGCCAAAGGCUGUACCAGUGGGUAGCAGUGUCAUCUUUUGGACAAGAGAGCCUUUUGUUCUUGUAUUCUUGUCAGACAGACAAAGUGCAUCACUCAGGGUCUCUGCUGUUCAGUUACUACUUCUCUGUUGCACUUGUGGAGUGAAAUUCCUGCCUUCUCCAGAACUGGCUGCAGGAGAGGCCUUCUGGCUACAGACCCUGAGAAAGGCACAGGGGCCUCUUCAAAGGAGACUUUACACCGAGCAGCUGGAGUUUCAGUUGCGAAGGUCAGUUCAGAGGAGACUGAAAAGACAGGAGAAAGACAGGAAAAGAGGAGGAAAAGAGGAGAGAAACAGGCACAAUGAAUUCUGCAUCCCUUUAUGUCACCACAAAGGUACAACUUUACCUAUUCAAACUGCAUUUUUAUAAAAACAAAAUAAAACGUAGUGCCACUGCAUGCUGGCUUCAGGAGACAGAGAUGCCAACUAAAGCAGCCACAAAGGCUUGAGUGGAACAGCCAGGUGAGCAGCAAUCCACAGCUGGGGAUCCUGCCUGGACAAGCUCUGGUGGCAGUGUGAGAGUGGCUGUUAAAUGGUUCCAACACAGGACACAGGAAACUGAAAGCUCAUCUCUUGAAGGGUGGAAAAGAGCAAGGAUGAGAUGCUGACCUUCAACACAGCAACUUGAGUGGUUAGGAAAAAUGAGUAGCAUAAGAAGAAUGUUAAAAUGUGUGAAAGAAACCAUGGCAUGGGGGGGAGAAUAGAAAGGAAAAAAGCUUAACCUGUAAGGUUAAAAAAGAUAGUUAGAAAAUGGAGGGAGCAAGGCAGUGAAAAUAAACAGGAUUAGGAGAGAUAGUGAAGUUUAUAAAUGUAUUUGAUGGUACUGCUUCUUUCUGCUUUACAGCUGUCCUAGGUGGAAUAAAAAAUUCAUCAGGCAGGUUAGUGGGGGGGUGGACUGGAUGUUCCCCAGAGGUCUCAUACAACCCCAAACACUCUGUGAUUCUGUGGAGAUCAAAAGAAAAAGGAGCAGGGAAUGGGGGGAGGAUAACUUCCUUAUCUGAAGAAAAUUUGAGAUUAUAAUUAAGCCUCCAGCAGUAAUCAGCUCCACCACCAGCCUGACCUGUUCUAGGGGAAGCACCAGGAUGCCCAGUUUGCACCAGAGCAAAUCACACCUGAAUAUCCUAAAGAUCCUCCAUAUGGAAAUGUUAUUUUCAAAAAUGGCUCGAGAGCUGCAGAAAUAAAGUGCAUUUCUGGGGAACUGCCAAGCUGCUGAAUAAUGUGACAUUUGUAACAGUAAUGAGGACCCCACUUUGCUUCUGAACAAAAGGCACUGUUCAAAAUGUGUAUCCAUGAAUAUUAUUUCCAUACAUUUAUGCAGAACUCAACCCCACCCCACAUUAGCACUGUGUCAGAGGAAAAAUUAAACAUUCAAGAUGAGAAAUACAAAGCUAAAGAUGAAACACAGAUUUAACCAUGAUAGAUUUAACUUGGACUCAUCUUCAAUUAUUUGGCACUGCAUUUCUCUAAUUGUAUACAGGCUGCAUUUUACUCUGGGGCCUGUGUUGUCUUCAAGGGUUUCUUCUGGCAAAGCUGAGACAACUGGAGCGAAACUGCUGCUGCUUUUUGUCUGCCAGGAAAUCAUGUCCUGAGCAUGUGGGCUUGGCCUGCAAGGAGCACAAGGAAAGCUCUUGGCAGAUGGGAUUUUAGAGCUCCUUUAGCCAGCCAAGCCCUUGGGAAGCCCCAACUGGCCUCACAAAGGAUAAAUCCCUGUUUUGUCAAGACAGAGCAGUUUUUAUUACUCCAAGAAGGCAUCAUGAGUACUUCUCUAUGACAACAAAAGGGUGAGUCUGAUCCCAUGAGCAGAACAGUAUUCCUCCAAUAUGUCAUCAUUCUGAGAUGUUAAAAAGCCAGGCUCUCUGAAAGCCAUCAUUUAGUGGCUGUAAGCUUGUAAAGGAAAUUCCACUGAGUGUUAUAGAAUGUAACAAAAAUACAUGCCAAAGGAGCCAGGUUAGCUGGGCUUUGAUAUCUUCUAAAUGUGUGGGUUUGUAAACUACAGAUGCUGUGCGAGUGAUGGGGUUCCUGAAGGAGGGAAGGGGCAGCUGGGAUUUUCUGGUGGAGCUGGUAAAGCCCAUGGCCUGCUGCUACCCAGCCUGAGGCUUUCCCCCCCAGAAGUCAUCCUGACCUGAGUGAAUGCUUUUCCUCUCAAAGCCACCCUUGCAUCUGGCUGUUCCCUGUCUCUCUGCCACAGAGCAGUGCCCACAGUCUCACAAACUCUCAGAGCUGCCAAUUGGUCACAGACAAUUCUGCCUCCUACCUGUUCCUUAUCUUUCUUUUGUUGGAAUAUCCUCAUUUCCUUCCACUGAGCUAGCACAGUGGAUAGCCAGAGACACCGUGCACAUCUGACCAGCGCUCGAUGGACCGGACUGCUAGUUUGGGCUGUCCUGAUACUUGACUACCUGCUGCCAAAACUCCAGCUAAAACUCCAACAAACUCAGUGUUUGAAUUUAUCAUUAUUUCUAGCAAAAAUGAUAUUGAACAUCUAAUUUCAAUCAACGAGCUUCCUACUCAGAAGCUAAAUUUUGGUGUGAAAUAGCCACUCCCCAUGGGGUGAGCAAUCUCCUUCCCUAUCACGUGGGUACUGUUUCAGCUGUCAGAUUUUAAGCCUUUACAUGUAAAAUUCCAGAAAGUCUCACACCCCAGUCACAGCCCUGCUCCUGCUGCCACACCACCGCUGGUCCAGGCCAGGUGUCCCUGGCCUUGUGCCCCCCUGGGCUGGUGCCCAGCCGCUGUCUCAGCACCCCAGGGCCGUUCCCUGCGGGCAGCUCUCCAGCCCAAGGGCUCCACAGCGGCGAGCAGGCGCAUCCCUCGGCGGGUCAGGGACAAACGGGCUCCGGAGCGCUCGGGACAGCAGCUGAGUGACCGGGAUGCACAGCCUGAUGCCACACAUCAUAAAUUCACGAGUAAAGUCUUUCUUGACACACUCAGGACAGGCUGCUCCCUAACCUGGCACCAGCCCAUAAUGCAAACCGCAGCCGUAGUGGUUACUGAAUUCACACUGCAAACAGCUUAAAGCGAAAUCAGAGCGCUUUUUUACCGAAAAGAGGCGGCCGACAGCGAAACACAUGUAAGACACUGGAAGUCUACCGUGACAAGUUCUGGUCUCUAACGUGCUCUGCCUGAAUUACGCUAAAUCCAUCACGCUCUCAGCCCUGUAGUUCCCCCACUCCGGAGGGAAGCGGAAAUCGUGACACUGCGGAAACGUGAAAAAAAAAAGUUUCAGCAUCCCCAGCUGUGGGGGACGGCCCCAGCGCCCGGCCCCAGCCCCGGGACAAUGGAGCUGGGCCGCCACCUCCGCCUGUCCUGUGCUGCUGGAGCGACACCAGGGAGCCGGGGGGCUUCUGUCCCCGCCACUCUGAACACACCAAGCACAGAACCACCGGGCGCCUGGGGCUCCAAGGGGCCGCUGCAG